RNAcentral lists this unclassified non-coding RNA (323 nucleotides) under Hevea brasiliensis (rubber tree). Lineage: Eukaryota; Viridiplantae; Streptophyta; Magnoliopsida; Malpighiales; Euphorbiaceae. The record is from RNAcentral.
UGAGCAAACACUUACUCCGUGACAAGAAGCACUGGAAUCUUCUUGUGAACUGGGUUACCAUGUGAAAGCAAAAAGCUUUAGUUGGAGAGGUCUUCUUCAACGUACCAUAUGGUAUGCCCUUUAGAUUCAGAGCCUAUAUAUAUCACUUUGUAGAUACAGGAACUAGACCAAAACCCAGGCAGCUUAACUUGAGCCAUUUGAUCAAGAGGCCAGCCAGUGUAUUUUUUCUUUAACUUGUCAAUGUACUUGUAUAAUUAAUGAAGUCGUCAAGCGCAGCCAAGGAUUAUUCAGUGUUUUAGGAGCUUAUGCUCCCUCUAUAUAAA